UACGUAGGGGGCGAGCGUUGUCCGGAUUUAUUGGGCGUAAAGAGAUCGUAGGCGGUUUGGUAAGUUGGAUGUGAAAUCUCCAGGCUCAACCUGGAGGGGUCAUUCGAUACUGCCGUGACUAGAGGUCGGUAGGGGAGUGUGGAAUUCCUGGUGGAGCGGUGAAAUGCGCAGAUAUCAGGAGGAACACCCGUAGCGAAGGCGGCACUCUGGGCCGAUACUGACACUGAGGAGCGAAAGCGUGGGGAGCGAACAGG
This 254-nucleotide ribosomal RNA is filed under the name uncultured bacterium. Its description in RNAcentral is "partial 16S ribosomal RNA". It matches the Rfam family "Bacterial small subunit ribosomal RNA", at positions 524 to 776 of the family's 1533-position model. The record is from RNAcentral.